RNAcentral lists this ribosomal RNA (472 nucleotides) under uncultured bacterium. RNAcentral describes it as "bacterial SSU rRNA". It matches the Rfam family "Bacterial small subunit ribosomal RNA", at positions 335 to 803 of the family's 1533-position model. The record is from RNAcentral.
ACUCCUACGGGAGGCAGCAGUGGGGAAUAUUGCACAAUGGGCGCAAGCCUGAUGCAGCCAUGCCGCGUGUGUGAAGAAGGCCUUCGGGUUGUAAAGCACUUUCAGUCGUGAGGAAGGUAGUGUAGUUAAUAGCUGCAUUAUUUGUACGUUAGCGACAGAAGAAGCACCGGCUAACUCCGUGCCAGCAGCCGCGGUAAUACGGAGGGUGCGAGCGUUAAUCGGAAUUACUGGGCGUAAAGCGCAUGCAGGUGGUUUGUUAAGUCAGAUGUGAAAGCCCGGGGCUCAACCUCGGAAUAGCAUUUGAAACUGGCAGACUAGAGUACUGUAGAGGGGGUAGAAUUUCAGGUGUAGCGGUGAAAUGCGUAGAGAUCUGAAGGAAUACCGGUGGCGAAGGCGGCCCCUGGACAGAUACUGACACUCAGAUGCGAAAGCGUGGGAGCAAACAGGAUUAGAUACCCCUGGUAGCGACUGA